Non-coding RNA from Heterocephalus glaber (naked mole-rat), 4953 nucleotides. Lineage: Eukaryota; Metazoa; Chordata; Mammalia; Rodentia; Bathyergidae. The record is from RefSeq and is a predicted model, not a curated record.
CUUAUGAAAAAUAUAUUUCUAAAACAAAAAAUAAGUGAGAAGAGUGACAUUGACGUGGUCCUUAGUAAGAAAAGUGACACUAUUUUACAUCUUUGUGGUUGGGCAUGGUGGCACACACCUGUAAUCUCAGGAUUUGGGAGGCUGAGGCAGGAGGACCACUAUGAGUUCCAGGCCAGUCUGGGCUACAUAGUGAGCUUAAGGCCAGCCUGAACUACCCAGUGAGACACUAUCUCAAAUUACAUCUUUGCAAAGUUCUUUAAUGUCUGGCUUAAAAGUAAUCAGCUGGAUUCUCAAACCUGCUUCUGCAUUUAGUUUGUUAAAACCGCACAGGUCAUACAGCCUUUGCAAACUAUAGUGUACACUUGUACAAGAAAGCAAAUGAAAAGACAAACAACAGCUUAGAAUUAUGUGAAAAUAGCUUAGACACCGCCCCCCCCCCAUGAUUCUCUGGAAUUCUCAGAGCUAUAGAGUUCCACCUCACAGCUAACUGAGAAUCACUGCUCUGAUCCACAUCUCUUUGCUGCUUAUUUGGUGUGUGGCUUAGAAGAGAAAUAAAAUGCCCAAGUUUAGAAUGUGGUUCAUGUUAGCUAUUUUUUAUUAUAUACCUUCCCUAGUAUCUUUCUCAUUCCACAGUUCCAUUCCUCCCUCUCCGACAUUUUCCCACUCAACAGCUUUGGAGAACAGAACAUCUUUUUCUGCCAUCUAUUCCUCUGUUGGAGGUCAUAUUCCAACUGGCAGGUAGACGGAGAGCAGCAGGACCUGUGACCACGGCAGGGGCCAAGUACAUUUCAAGUGCACAGGAUAAUUCUCCAUGCAUUUAUGUGCUUGUGUAAGCCUAGCCCUGUGGAGCACAUGAGGAUGAAAAACGUGCUUCCCAAUGUCAAGGGGUUUGUGGUGUAUGCAGCUCUCUGCUUUAUGGGAAACACCAAGUACAGAAGAACUUGGACUAAGAGGACCCUUGUGAUGGCUUGGACUCAGCCAGAUUAGUCCAGAUAAUCUCCCAUCUCACCUUGGGCAAAUCUGCAAAGUCUGUUAUGGAGUGUAAGAUAACAUAUUGAACUGGUUCCUGAGAUUAGGAGACUGAAACAUUUGGAGGGCCAUUAUUCUGCCUACCUUGGUUACAACCUGACUGGACCUUCCCAGAGUUGCAGUGAGAUUUAUUCUGGGAUGGCUACAAGAAACUGAAAAUUGGCACCCAGUGCUGCCUUCAUGGUAAGGAGUCAAUGCUCAAUCAACACUAACAGGAGGAUCAAGCAAAACAGGAAGAAGCUGCUCCCUCCUCACUCUUUCCCCUGUCCUCUAGUCUUUCUCUAUUGUCCCUGUUGGCAAGACUUAGCAAGAAGCCAGCUGACUAAGGAUAAUUAGCUUUGCAGUUUCAGUCCAGCAUUGGAGAGCAGUGUAGAAUGGAAGGUUUGAGGCUACAAGACAUUAGCUUAGAAACUGACAAAAAUACCACCAAAAAAGUCAAGUUUUUGUUUGCUGGGUUCGGGGGAUUUCAGUUUUGAAGUUUGAACUCAGGGCCUUCACACUGUGCUACAUUCCCAGCCCUUUCUAUUAUUUUGAGAUGGGGGAGUCUGCUAAGUUGCCCAGGCUGGGCUUGAACUUGCAGUCCUUCUGCCUCAGCUUCCCAGAGUGCUGACAUUACAGGUCUGUGCCACUACAGCUGGGUUAAAAAAAUGAUUUUAAACAAAUGACAGCCUAGGACUACAUUACAGGUACUCCAUGAUUUACAAUGGGUUAUAAUCCAAUAAACCAACAAAUACAUUUAAAAUAUCCAAAUAUAUAAAUUGAAAAUAUCCUAAAUUGAAAAUACAUUUAAUACCUACCAAAUAUACUAAGCAACACAAUACACUGUAGAAUCAAUUGUUUACCCACUUGAUCAUCGGGCUGACUGGGAGUUGUGUAUUAUACCUGAGAGUAGCUGAGUGUAUCAUACCACAUAUUGCUAGUCCAGAAAAAGAGAAAAAUUCAAAGUAUGGUUUCUAUUCAAUGCAUAUCAUUUUCACACUAUCAUAAAGAUCAAAAUUGUAAUUUGGGGACUAUCUAUUUAAUAAAAGGUUCAUAACAAUAUAUAAUGGUUUUUAGAAACCAAUAAGAAAAAGACAACCCAGUAAACAUGGGCAAAACCAUAGUAUGCUGUGUGACUAUAGUAUAGACCAGUAACACAUUCAUUUAUCAUUGUUAAAUAUUAUCUUAUACAUAAUUGUAUGUAUUAUACUUUUAUAUGACUGUUAAUGUACAGUAGGUUUGUUGACACCAGAAUCACAAUUGAGUGAUGAGUUACUUUAUGACAUUAUAGUGGCUACAAAGUCAUUCAGCUAUGGAAAUUUUUCAGUUCUAUUAUAAUCUCAUGGGACCAUCAAUGUAUGUGCUAUCUGUCCUUGCCCAAAAUAUCAUCAUGAGCUGGGAGUGGUGGCACAUGCCUGUAAUCCCAGCACUCAGGAGUCUGAGGCAGGAGGAUCAGCAUGAGUUCGAGGCCAUCCUAGGCUACACCAAUUCAAGGCCAGCCCAAAUUACAUUGCAAGACUUUGUCUCUAAAUAAAUAAAUAGAUAAAUAAAUAAAUAAAUAUGUCAUUAUAUAGCACAUGACUGUAUGCAAGAUGAACCUGAGGUAUCUCAUAGUGCCAAAAGAGAGGUAGCGGUCCAAAAACAAAACAGUAAUAUAAACAAAAAGACAAGUUGGGCUGGGGAUUUAGCUCAGUGGUUUCGCCGCCUGCUGCACAAGCGCAAGGACCCAAGUUUGAUCCCUGGUACCAAAAAAAAAAAGACAAGCAAAAGAUGAGAUCUUUCAAAGUGACGUAAGUAUUAACUGAAAGAAUAGCAAUAGUCAAAGCUGGCCUGAUUUAAGCAACAAAAAGUAGGGAGGCUGGGUGCAUGCCUAGUCCUGGCCACUCAGGAGGCUGAGGCAGGAGGAUCGCAACUUCAAGGCCAGGCUGGACAAUUUAGCAAGACCCUGUCUCAAAAUUUUAGAAAAGGGGCAGGGAUGUACCUCAGUGCAAGACCUUGGGUUCAAUCCUCAGCCUCUCUCCCUGUCUCUCUCUCUCUCUCUCAAACAGGGAAUUAAACUUACUACUAAAGUUAGAAAAAAUUAUACUAUACCAGAGAAUAAUAAAGAGACUGUGGAAAUGUUUAUAUAUAUAAAUAUUAUCACCCAUCAGGGUAAAAGACUAACACCCAAUCAUACAAAUAAUCAUGUCAAUCCAAAGUUAGAAUCCAAAGUAUUAAGUAAAUAUCCAGGUUCCAUACUAAUAUUAAUAAAUGAUCAUGUUGAUAAAUCAAAGAAAAUAAGCAAAUCUAUGCAGAACUCUAAAUAACUUACGUCUAUAGUUUGCUCUCAAUGAGGUAGAGCAUAAUGCCCUGCUUCAUAAGUGUGGGCUAUAUACAGUGAUUUCCUUCCAAAGUGUAUGGUAUGUACUGGGGGUGUAGUUCAGUAGUAGAGUGCCUGCAUAGCAUAUGGGAUUUUUCAAAAGUAUUCCCAAUUAAAAGUUCAUUUUAUUUUAUUUUUAAGGCACUGGUUAUCAAACUCAGGGCCUCAUGAAUGUCAGGCAAGUGCUUUGCCACUGAGCUACACUCGCAGCCCUAAAAGCUUAUUUUUAAAAAGACUCCUGUACUUUAUGACCCCAGAGACUUUUUAAAAACAAAAAUCUAUGCACAUUUUUAAAAAUUAAAAGUGCGAUCAUUGUUCAACCCAGAAAUGUCACUUUUCAUAACUUCCAAUUAAAAUAGUUACAAAGUAUACAAAAUAAAUGCAAAAGAACUGUAAUUGUAGCUAUUGCAGAAACCAAAAUAUAGGAAAUAACUUAGUUGUUUGUAUACCAGAAAGUAGUUGUAUAGUAUUAUAGUAGGAGUAAUCCUAAAAUAACCCUAUUUAUGACCUUUCUCUUGUGUGUGCAUGGAACUUGUGAGUAUUAUGAAUUUCAUUCCCAAAAUUAGGCUAUGUUAGAUGAACCAGUGGAAAGUUGCUCAAGGUUUGGUUUGGUUUGUAUUUUUAAUAUAAAAUGAAAUGAAUGUUCUGUAUAAAUAAUGCCUACUCUACCACCACCAAGACAAACUCUUGACUGGCACAGUUAUCCUGAGUGGGCCUGACCUAAUCAGGUGACACUUGAAGAAGAACUGAGCUCUUCCUUAAAAGAAAUUCAUCGUGGGCUGGAAAUUUAGUUUAGUGGUGCCAUGCCUGCCUCGAAACUGCAAGGUCCUGAGUUCAAUCCCCCGUACUGCCGCAAAAAAACAAAGAAAGAAAUUAGUUGUUUGAGGGGCAUUAGUCAUGGAGGAGAUAUCUUGUUACUACCUUUGAAGAUGGAGGGGACUAUAUAGAAAAGAAUGUAACAAACUUCUGGAAGCUAAGAGCAGCUCCCAGCUGACAGCCCAUAAGGGAUCUCAGUUCUACAAGCUGCAGGCCUCCGAAUUCUGCCAACAACCUGAAAAAGACUGGAUGAAGCCCUAAAGCCUCAGAUAGGAAAGUCAGCCCUGGAGAUACCUUGAUUUUAGCCAUGGGAAAUCCGGAGCCAAGAACUCUGACCUAGGGAGAGUGUGUGGUACCAAACAUAUGUUCUUAUAAGCUGCAAAAUUGGCGAUAGUUUGUUCCACAGCAAUUAAUAACUAAUACAGGUAUAUCUAGGCUGCAAGGUACCAUAUAGCCAAUACCAUCAGUGAGACGUACCUGAGCGUAUCCCUCCAGAAGGAGACCCAAGAUGACCACCAAUUGGUUACAAGAAGUUGCAAAAAUAAAUACAGCAUCAUCUUGUUUUCACAAAACUCAACUUUUAUGGGUGGCAGACCAAGAUGUAGAAAGUUAAUACCAAAGGGAAAGCUGAGGAGUAGAAUUUGGCAGAGGGAUCUUUCUGUUUGUUAGUAAGUACAUUUCUUUGAAGCUAGAGAGCUUGUUUAGGUGGGGCAGUGUUUUAUUUACAAAAAAUAUGUGUCAGUAAAAGGCUGAAGACCAAGACCAGACCA